GGAGGCGCACUACAACAGAAUUAGGUUAUAGGGACACAUGUUUGGAACACUUUUGUUUAAGUGUCACAUUUAUGUCAAAACUUUUAAAAAAACCUACUAAUGCUUAAAUAUAAAGUCCAAUCCAACAAAAAAUAAAAGGAUACUCUACUCAACCCACCCCACCCAACCCAUUCGGCCCUAUUAUAAACAGAAAAGAAAAAUAAAAUAAAAUAAAAUAAAAAUUCAUUACCAUUUUCCCUUCUCCCCUCACUCAAUCGACUGAAAUCCUAGAUGAAGAUCCCUUCCUCUCGUCCUCCUCCGCCACCGCAGCCAACGAGAUAGAGUUCCCGCGGUUGCUAGAUGCUUAAAUAAAUAUUGGUAAAUUAGCAUCACUUUUUUAGAUUAUAUCGACACUCUUUAACUGUCACUAUAUACCUAACGACCCCACAUAUAGUAACACUUUUUAAAAGUGUCGGUAAUUUAGCCAGUAAUACUUUUUUUGACUUAUACCGAUAUUUAAAAGUGUCGCUAUAGACCGUUUUUGUUAUAGUGGCGGUAAGAAAAGAAGAGAGGGAGAGAGAGUGAGAGAGAGUAGCAUAGGAGAAGGAAGAAUAGGAAGAAGGAUAGG
Molecule: long non-coding RNA, 607 nt
Filed under: Ananas comosus (pineapple)
Lineage: Eukaryota; Viridiplantae; Streptophyta; Magnoliopsida; Poales; Bromeliaceae
Description: long non-coding RNA (ACOM_LNC034569)
Source: RNAcentral